CACAGCUAGGCACAAACAGUCCUGGAGGUUCCUGCAGAGCAUUGGUGACAACUUCUUGACACAGGUGGUGGAGGAGCCAACAAGGAGAGGUGUGCUGCUGGACCUCGUACUAACAAACAAAGAAGGACUGGUGGAAGAUGUGAAGGUCAGGGGCUGCCUUGGCUGCAGUGACCAUGAGAUCGUGGAGUUCAGGAUCCUGCGAGGAGGAGGCAGGGCACCAAGUAGGAUCGCAACCCUGGACUUCAGGAGAGCAAACUUUGGCCUCUUCAAGGACCUACUUGGAGGAAUCCCAUGGGUUAGGGCCCUAGAAGGAAGGGGCGUUCAAGAGAGCUGGUUAAUAUUCAAACAUCACUUCCUCCAGGCUCAAGAGCGGUGCAUCCCUAUGAGUAGGAAGUCAAGCAAAGGAGGCAGGAGACCUGCAUGGAUGAGCAAGGAGCUCCUGGCAAAACUCAACCAGAAGAAGGAAGUAUACAGAAAGUGGAAAGGGGGACAGGCCACUUGGGAGGAAUAUAGGAACGUUGUCAGGGUAUGCAGGGAUGCAACGAGGAAGGCUAAGGCCCGUUUGGAAUUAAAUCUGGCUAGAGAUGUCAAGGACAACAAGAAGGGCUUCUUCAAAUACAUCAGCAGCAAGAGGAAGACUAGGGAAAAUGUGGGCCCUUUGCUGAAUGGGGUGGGUGCCCUGGUGACGAAGGAUACAGAGAAGGCAGAGUUACUGAAUGCCUUCUUUGCUUCAGUCUUUACUGCUCAGGCCAGCCCUCAGGAACCCCAGACCCUGGAGGCAAGAGAGAAAGUCUGGAGAAAGGAAGACUUUCCCUUGGUGGAGGAGGAUCAGGUUAGAGAUCAUUUAAGCAAACCUGACACUCACAAAUCCAUGGGCCCCGAUGGGGUGCACCCACGAAUGCUGAGGGAGCUGGCGGACAUUAUUGCUAAGCCACUCUCCAUCAUCUUUGAAAGGUCAUGGAGAACAGGAGAGGUGCCUGAGGACUGGAAGAAAGCCAGUGUCACCCCAGUCUUCAAAAAGGGCAAGAAGGAGGACCCAGGGAACUACAGGCCAGUCAGCCUCACCUGCAUCCCUGGAAAGGUGAUGGAGCAGCUCAUGCUGGAGGCCAUCUCCAAGCAUGUGGAGGACAAGAAGGUGAUCAGGAGUAGUCAGCAUGGCUUCACCAAGGGGAAAUCAUGCUUAACCAAUCUGAUAGCCUUCUGUGAUGGAAUGACUGGCUGGGUAGAUGAGGGGAGAGCAGUGGAUGCUGUCUACCUAGACUUCAGCAAGG
RNAcentral lists this long non-coding RNA (1271 nucleotides) under Apteryx owenii (little spotted kiwi). Its description in RNAcentral is "lncRNA (ENSAOWG00000011631.1)". Lineage: Eukaryota; Metazoa; Chordata; Aves; Apterygiformes; Apterygidae. The record is from RNAcentral.